UUUCCGUAGGUGAACCUGCGGAAGGAUCAUUACAGAGUUCAUGCCCUCACGGGUGGAUCUCCCACCCUUGAAUAUUUAUACCUUAGUUGCUUUGGCAGGCCGUGGAAACACCAUGGGCUCCGGCUUAUGCGGGCCUGCCAGAGGAAACAAACUCUGUUUUUAGUGAUGUCUGAGUACUAUAUAAUAGUUAAAACUUUCAACAACAGAUCUCUUGGUUCUG
This 220-nucleotide unclassified non-coding RNA is filed under the name plant metagenome. Its description in RNAcentral is "partial contains small subunit ribosomal RNA, internal transcribed spacer 1, and 5.8S ribosomal RNA". The record is from RNAcentral.